GUCAAGUCAUCAUGGCCCUUACGCCUAGGGCUACACACGUGCUACAAUGGGGUGUACAAAGAGAAGCAAUACUGCGAAGUGGAGCCAAUCUCUAAAACAUCUCUCAGUUCGGAUUGUAGUCUGCAACUCGACUACAUGAAGCUGGAAUCGCUAGUAAUCGCAAAUCAGCCAUGUUGCGGUGAAUACGUUCCCGGGUCUUGUACUCACCGCCCGUCACACCAUGGGAGUUGUAUUCGCCUUAAGUCGGAAUACUAAACUAGUUACCGCCCACGGCGGAUGCAGCGACUGGGGUGAAGUCGUAACAAGGUAACCGUAGGUGAACCUGCGGUUGGAUCACCUCCUUUCAAGAG
This 350-nucleotide ribosomal RNA is filed under the name Helicobacter pullorum. Its description in RNAcentral is "bacterial SSU rRNA". It matches the Rfam family "Bacterial small subunit ribosomal RNA", at positions 1184 to 1533 of the family's 1533-position model. Lineage: Bacteria; Pseudomonadati; Campylobacterota; Epsilonproteobacteria; Campylobacterales; Helicobacteraceae. The record is from RNAcentral.